UACGUAGGGUGCGAGCGUUAAUCGGAAUUACUGGGCGUAAAGCGUGCGCAGGCGGUUCGCUGUGUCCUGUGUGAAAGCCCCGGGCUUAACCUGGGAAUGGCAUGGGAAACUGGCGGGCUGGAGUGUGGCAGAGGGGGGUGGAAUUCCGCGUGUAGCAGUGAAAUGCGUAGAGAUGCGGAGGAACACCGAUGGCGAAGGCAGCCCCCUGGGCUAACACUGACGCUCAGGCACGAAAGUGUGGGGAUCAAACAGG
Molecule: ribosomal RNA, 253 nt
Filed under: uncultured bacterium
Lineage: Bacteria
Description: partial 16S ribosomal RNA
Rfam family: Bacterial small subunit ribosomal RNA
Source: RNAcentral